This is a long non-coding RNA of Ornithorhynchus anatinus (platypus), 908 nucleotides long. RefSeq lists it as uncharacterized. The transcript has 3 exons. The record is from RefSeq and is a predicted model, not a curated record. NCBI's taxonomy places the organism in Eukaryota, Metazoa, Chordata, Mammalia, Monotremata, Ornithorhynchidae.
CAAAUCCGCCUUUGCUGCUAACUCUCUGUGUUGCCGUAGGCAAACCAUUUAAUGCUCUGUGCCUUAAAGUUUACCCAGCUGAAAAAUGAGGUGGGCUAAUUAGAGCUUUUUUUUCCCCAGAAUUAAUUCUUGUCAUCCAAAAGGUGGUCUUGGUAGUUAAGACACAGAAGGCAUAGCUUGAAGGGCACAUUAAAGAUUGUACUAGCCCCAUGGCUUCCUGGAGUCCACAAAUGAAGGAAAUGGGUUAAAGUGGGUACUUAAGUGUCAAAACAUGGUGGUGUGAAAACGGUGGUUAUCGGACUUGAAUGGUUCUCUUUCUUAUUUUCAACCAUCGGUCCGAACUGAGACUCUACAGACUGGACUGCCACAUCAUAAAGGUCAAGUUCCACAGCUCCUGAUCGAGGUUGAAUUAUGAGCUUUCUUCUUGACUCCAGGGAGUGCUCCAUGUGAUGACCCAAAUCACCACCACCACCAUCUUCAGGUGCCAUCUUACACAGCCAUUUGAGAAGAAUAAUAAGAAGCAAACAACUCUGCCAUGCUGUCAGCUAUUACCACCCUUCUCUCCAUGACUGACCAUCUGAUGGGUACUACAGAUUGAAUUAUCUUGCUUGGUGCGCCUCAAUGUGGGGUGUGGAAGCAGAGGGGAAGGAACCAUUUCUUUCAUUAAACAUAUUUGCACUUGGAUUUGGAUGCUCCAUUUUACAUGUGAACCCUUGAAGGCCUCCUCUCUCUCAUAAUCUUCGGGGGUCUUCACCUUGAUGGGGUUAGGCUCCCCCUAGAAUUUUAGGCUGGGCACUAAUAAGAUGCAGCUGCCAAAUGAAGAAAUGUUUCCUGUGGUUUGCUAUGAAAAUUCCCCCUCCAUGAUUUGUCCUUGUGGACUGGGAUCUGAGGAUUUUUGUAUAGGGCUU